This 766-nucleotide unclassified non-coding RNA is filed under the name Hevea brasiliensis (rubber tree). The record is from RNAcentral. Lineage: Eukaryota; Viridiplantae; Streptophyta; Magnoliopsida; Malpighiales; Euphorbiaceae.
GAGAAUCCUGAUCUUUUAUCAGUAAAUGGGUGUGGCCCCUCCCUAGUAGUUCCCUUCCAGUUCAGAAUCACGCUAAUUUUGCCAUUUCUUAUUCCUGUUCUUGUUGUUAUCUCUGCAGUUACUGCUAUUAAUCUACUCACUCAUCUUCAACUAUCUAAGCACAGAAACCCCCUCUAGCUUGUUCCUCCAUUUGGAUUGCAACUAUGGCUGAGAAAAUAACAGCAGAGAAAUUUUUAAACAACCUGGUAGAAACCCUUGCUGACAGUAUUCCGAAGCAGAAAUCUGUGUCAUUCUUUGAGGAAGAGACAAGCUCAGUAACUUCUAAAUUCAAUCGGCUUUUUGGACGUCAGAAGCCAGUCCAUCAUCUUCUGGGAGGUGGAAAAUCUGCUGAUGUUCUCCUAUGGAGGAAUAAGAAAAUCUCAGCUAGUGUGCUAUCUGGUGCAACAGCCAUCUGGGUGCUUUUUGAGUGGCUUAAUUACCAUCUUCUGACUCUCAUAUGCCUUGCAUUGGUUCUUGGUAUGCUUGCCCAAUUUGUUUGGACAGUUGCUUCGGGAUUAUUUAACAGCAAUAGAUCCUCAUCUAAGGUCCCCCGCCUUGUACUACCUGAUGAGGUAUUUGUCAGUGUUGGGAGAUCAAUAGGAAUUGAGGUUAAUCAUGCUUUGAAGUUUCUUCAGGAUGUAUCAAGUGGAGGAAAUUUGAAACAAUUUCUUGCGAUUGUAGCUAGCUUGUGGGCUGCCGCUGUCAUUGGGAGCUGGUGCAAUUUUCU